Molecule: transfer RNA, 73 nt
Filed under: Patescibacteria group bacterium
Lineage: Bacteria
Description: tRNA-Thr
Rfam family: tRNA
About the family: Transfer RNA (tRNA) molecules are approximately 80 nucleotides in length. Their secondary structure includes four short double-helical elements and three loops (D, anti-codon, and T loops). Further hydrogen bonds mediate the characteristic L-shaped molecular structure. tRNAs have two regions of fundamental functional importance: the anti-codon, which is responsible for specific mRNA codon recognition, and the 3' end, to which the tRNAs corresponding amino acid is attached (by aminoacyl-tRNA synthetases). tRNAs cope with the degeneracy of the genetic code in two manners: having more than one tRNA (with a specific anti-codon) for a particular amino acid; and 'wobble' base-pairing, i.e. permitting non-standard base-pairing at the 3rd anti-codon position.
Source: RNAcentral
GCCGAUGUAGCUCAGCUGGUAGAGCAUUCCCAUGGUAAGGGAAAGGUCCCCGGUUCAAUCCCGGGCAUCGGCU